Molecule: ribosomal RNA, 253 nt
Filed under: uncultured bacterium
Lineage: Bacteria
Description: partial 16S ribosomal RNA
Rfam family: Bacterial small subunit ribosomal RNA
Source: RNAcentral
UACGUAGGGUGCGAGCGUUAAUCGGAAUUACUGGGCGUAAAGCGUGCGCAGGCGGUGCACCAAGCUCGAUGUGAAAGCCCCGGGCUUAACCUGGGAAUUGCAUUGAGGACUGGUGUGCUCGAGUGCGGCAGAGGGGGGUGGAAUUCCACGUGUAGCAGUGAAAUGCGUAGAUAUGUGGAGGAACACCAAUGGCGAAGGCAGCCCCCUGGGUCAACACUGACGCUCAUGCACGAAAGCGUGGGGAGCAAACAGG